AUCAGAGUGGCGAAAUUGGUAUACGCAUUGGACUUAAAAUUCAAUGUCUUUAAAGACAUGCCGGUUCGAAUCCGGCCUCUGAUACCA
This 87-nucleotide transfer RNA is filed under the name Actinomycetota bacterium. Its description in RNAcentral is "Actinobacteria bacterium tRNA-Leu". It matches the Rfam family "tRNA". From Rfam's summary of the family: Transfer RNA (tRNA) molecules are approximately 80 nucleotides in length. The record is from RNAcentral. Lineage: Bacteria; Bacillati; Actinomycetota.